GCGGGCGCAGUGGCGUGUGCCUGUAACCCCAGAGGCUUGGGAGGCUGAGGCAGGAGGAUUCUGAGUUCAAAGCCAGUCUCAGUGAAAGUGAGGUGCUAAGCAACUCAGUGAGACUCUGUCUCUA
Molecule: small RNA, 124 nt
Filed under: Marmota monax (woodchuck)
Lineage: Eukaryota; Metazoa; Chordata; Mammalia; Rodentia; Sciuridae
Source: RNAcentral